This is a long non-coding RNA of Gallus gallus (chicken), 1310 nucleotides long. RefSeq lists it as uncharacterized. NCBI's taxonomy places the organism in Eukaryota, Metazoa, Chordata, Aves, Galliformes, Phasianidae. The record is from RefSeq and is a predicted model, not a curated record. The transcript is spliced from 2 exons.
GGACUAGAGAUUCCAAGGUGCACAUCAGGUUUGUCUAUCCAGCCCUGCACGUGACAUAGAUUCAUCUAAGACUGAUGCCACAGAGUCACAGAGAGACAAAACGACCAUUACUAACACGGCGCAAGGAUGGACUCCAGGCCAACCAGCUCCAAAACCUCUGCUAAAUAAUAAACGGACACAAGGUGAAAACUAACUUUGAACCCUCGCAUUUCAACUAAGGAAAUAAUGAGAUAACUAAUACAGAAGCUUUAAGUCAUGCCUGUGAAGAACAGUGCUUAUCACCACCCAGGUCAACGCUUGUGCUGGCCCACCAAGCUGUGGUCAGGAAUCUGCUGCAGAAGAACAAGGGACCAACAAGGGACCAGACGUCCCUGCAGCACCAGCUGCAUUGGGAAGGAGCUGACGCAUGAUGAAUGAGGCAGGGAAAGCCAAGUCUGCAGGCCAGGUGUCAGCUAUCAUACACCCUGCUCCUCUUCCAGCGUAUCACAGUCGCACACUGCCCCGUCCUGCCUUCAACGGCUUCUGAAAGAAAUGCCUACUGCAAAGACCAGUUUAGCUGUUGAGCGGAUUUCACUCUCUUCACCCUGACCGCAGGCAAUAGAUCACAGUCACAAGAUGAACUGGAACGUAACCAAGUGCCCAAGGCCAGCCUUGUGAGCAGCCCUCCCCUGCUGCAGCUCGCACACUGCUGCCAUACAAAGCCCGUGUUAGCCUGGAGCCAGGAUCCACCACCGCCGGCUUCCAGCCACGCUAUCUCCAUCCAGCCAGUUUUAAAUGAAUGCCAAAGUAAAUACAUGAAAUCACACCCGUACGGAUACACAACCGAUCCAAAACAUCUCUAGGCAUUGUUCUUGUUAGAAGUAAAUUAUUGUCAUGCUUUGCGUUCAUUAGCAAGCAUCCUGUCAAUCACACGACACAAAGCUACAGAUAACCGAAAGCUUCAUGAUGAAGGACAGGAAAGAAAACCCCAGACCUCCUCCUUCCCUACGAAAUGAAGGCAGUGACUGCGUUGUCCAAAAGCACAGCAAAGCUUCCCAGACUCGAGCAGGACGAGCUGUAACGUCUCAUACCCCAACAGCAGAGCUGCGACUUUCCUUCCUCUGUGCUCUCAAAGAGCAGACCUACGCCUGCAGCUUAAUUCAACACUUGUUGCCAAGAAACAUUUCUAGUCAGAAAUGCAUACAGGAGCAGUUGUGAUUCAUACACUCUGAAGAUUAGUUACCUCUAAUCCUCAUCGCCAGCCCAAAAGAGAGCAAACUGAAAGGAGAGAGAACGCCAUUUUACAAAACAUUAAAGUUGUAUUUAAAUAG